This 105-nucleotide small RNA is filed under the name Salmonella enterica subsp. enterica. RNAcentral's name for it is "partial RtT sRNA". It matches the Rfam family "RtT RNA", at positions 1 to 104 of the family's 130-position model. From Rfam's summary of the family: This family represents a bacterial cis-regulatory element known as RtT RNA. The exact function of RtT is unknown although it is thought that it may be involved in changing the cellular response in relation to amino acid starvation. The record is from RNAcentral. Lineage: Bacteria; Pseudomonadati; Pseudomonadota; Gammaproteobacteria; Enterobacterales; Enterobacteriaceae.
AUAUCUCUCUGUACGGGAAGGAUGAGAAGCUUCGACUAAGGUUCGAUUCGAGCGCAGCGAGAAAGCGUUGCCGUAGGCAACGACCCGAAGGGCGAAGCGCGCAGC